This 1082-nucleotide ribosomal RNA is filed under the name Pasteurella multocida subsp. septica. RNAcentral describes it as "bacterial SSU rRNA". It matches the Rfam family "Bacterial small subunit ribosomal RNA", at positions 28 to 1099 of the family's 1533-position model. Lineage: Bacteria; Pseudomonadati; Pseudomonadota; Gammaproteobacteria; Pasteurellales; Pasteurellaceae. The record is from RNAcentral.
AUUGAACGCUGGCGGCAGGCUUAACACAUGCAAGUCGAACGGUAGCAGGAAGAAAGCUUGCUUUCUUUGCUGACGAGUGGCGGACGGGUGAGUAAUGCUUGGGAAUCUGGCUUAUGGAGGGGGAUAACUGUGGGAAACUGCAGCUAAUACCGCGUAAUCUCUGAGGAGUAAAGGGUGGGACCUAUUGGCCACCUGCCAUAAGAUGAGCCCAAGUGGGAUUAGGUAGUUGGUGGGGUAAAGGCCUACCAAGCCUGCGAUCUCUAGCUGGUCUGAGAGGAUGACCAGCCACACUGGAACUGAGACACGGUCCAGACUCCUACGGGAGGCAGCAGUGGGGAAUAUUGCGCAAUGGGGGGAACCCUGACGCAGCCAUGCCGCGUGAAUGAAGAAGGCCUUCGGGUUGUAAAGUUCUUUCGGUAAUGAGGAAGGGAUGUUGUUUAAUAGAUGGCAUCAUUGACGUUAAUUACAGAAGAAGCACCGGCUAACUCCGUGCCAGCAGCCGCGGUAAUACGGAGGGUGCGAGCGUUAAUCGGAAUAACUGGGCGUAAAGGGCACGCAGGCGGACUUUUAAGUGAGAUGUGAAAUCCCCGAGCUUAACUUGGGAAUUGCAUUUCAGACUGGGAGUCUAGAGUACUUUAGGGAGGGGUAGAAUUCCACGUGUAGCGGUGAAAUGCGUAGAGAUGUGGAGGAAUACCGAAGGCGAAGGCAGCCCCUUGGGAAUGUACUGACGCUCAUGUGCGAAAGCGUGGGGAGCAAACAGGAUUAGAUACCCUGGUAGUCCACGCUGUAAACGCUGUCGAUUUGGGGAUUGGGCUAUAUGCUUGGUGCCCGAAGCUAACGUGAUAAAUCGACCGCCUGGGGAGUACGGCCGCAAGGUUAAAACUCAAAUGAAUUGACGGGGGCCCGCACAAGCGGUGGAGCAUGUGGUUUAAUUCGAUGCAACGCGAAGAACCUUACCUACUCUUGACAUCCAGAGAAGCUUGCAGAGAUGCGAGUGUGCCUUCGGGAGCUCUGAGACAGGUGCUGCAUGGCUGUCGUCAGCUCGUGUUGUGAAAUGUUGGGUUAAGUCCCGCAACGAGCGC